AUGGAUCCAAUUUAUGAGGAGGCGUCAAAAUACCUUCUGACAAUACAAAUGCGCAACCAAUGGCAAGUUGUUAGCAAGGAAAAGAAAAAGAUUUAAAACACAAAAACAAAGGAACAAUGAAGAUGGGACACAGUCCAUUGCUAAGGUCUCCGAUAAUUCCAUUACUGUUGCCGCCAAAAAUUCGGUUGAUUACAAAUUCGUACUCUUCUUUUGUCACGUUUCAUUCAGGCCUUUUGUUCUGCGCGCAUAACUUUCAUCAAUAUUCUGUUACUCUUUCCUGUAUAAUUUCCUUUUGUUUAUGUCGCUUGUAUUAGUCUUCACCGCGGAUUUUAUGCAUUCGGAUCAACCGUUGAACUAUUUGAACCGUCUAACUGUUUAAACCGUCUCUAUCGAUCGCUUUACGCCGCUUUACGUUGCUUUACGUCGCUUUACAUCGUCUUUAAUUUGGCAGUUGACCCAGAUCUCGGCGACAUUUCCAUUUGGAAGUGAGGUUGGACAUGUCUGUGACGAGCAUUUUUUGCUACAACACUGAUGUACAACCCUAUCAAUUGGAGCUUCCUCAACAAAGACAAGUAUAUGUUGUAAAAAGCUAGAAAAAGACGUUGGCCAUCGAGCAGUGGUCAAGUUGUUCAGUAGGGCCACCUCAAAAGCUAUAUAGAACAACUUCAAAGCUAACCUGGAGCAUUCGCCGGACCAAGACAUUCUCUAUGUCGGCUCCAAUAACCUUAAAUAUAAAAACUGUUGCAAGAUGCUGAAUCGAUCGUAGACAAAUCGAAGAUUCAUUCUCCGCCAUAUUUAAGCUUACUUCUACAAGGUGCAAGGGAUGAAUUCAAUGGAGCAGUGAAAGAUGCCGAUAAACAUCUAAAGAGCUAUUGCCGUCAGAAUGGAUGGGAACUUAUCCAGCAUCUAAAGAUCACAGAGAAUGGCCUAAACAAGGGAGGACUGCAUCUUAGUUAUAAAGAAUGGUUUGGGACUUUUUACUGGUCAUCUCAGAGGACAAUCGCUACCACAAGAGAAAAGCCUUGGCAAGUUAGUUGUCAGGUUGAUUGUAGUUUGCUAGAAAUGUAUCUCAUGAGCUCCCUAUCAAUACAUGUGCCUCACGUAAAAAUUAUACAUAGAUAUACAUAUAGGAAGUCUGUGUUUU
Pocillopora verrucosa is the source of this 1144-nucleotide long non-coding RNA. RefSeq lists it as uncharacterized. Lineage: Eukaryota; Metazoa; Cnidaria; Anthozoa; Scleractinia; Pocilloporidae. The record is from RefSeq and is a predicted model, not a curated record.